GCUGCUGGUGGAAAGGUCGAGAACAACCGUGUUAACGGACAAUUGGCGAUGAGUCGUGCGAUCGGGGAUUACUCAUACAAGCAACAGCCCGAGCGCAAA
This 99-nucleotide non-coding RNA is filed under the name Platyophrya macrostoma. The record is from RNAcentral. Lineage: Eukaryota; Ciliophora; Colpodea; Cyrtolophosidida; Platyophryidae.